UAACCAACUGAGCCACCCAGGCGCCCCAGAACCAUUUAUUUUUUACCUUACGAUGUCCUAGCAAGCUCCAGAUCCACGAACCCCGACAGCUUCCCCAGACUGGUGGUUUUGUCUCCCUACGUUUGGAAGUCUGAGGAUCGGGGCGGCACCAGGACGAUCUAGGUUCCUGUGUUAGCUUCCUAUGGCUGCAACUAGCACACAUCUAUCAGUUUAAAACAGUGCAAACUUAUUCUCUUGCUCUUCUGUAGGUUAGAAGUCUGACACGGGGCCUCAGUGGGUUACCAUAAAGGCCUUGGGAACUGCAACCCUGCUUGGAGGCUCUAGAGGGAAAUCUGGGUCCUUGUCCUCCACUUUCCGGAGGUGCCCAUGUUCCUUGGCUCGUGGCCUCCCGCUGCCUUCCAGGUAACACAGCACAUUUCCAGGCUCCAGGGAACAGGACACGGACAUUUGGCGGGGGGCCCUUCUUCUGCCUCCUACACUCCCUGUAAGCUGUAUUACCGCAGGAAGCCAGAGCGUGGCUUGGUCCUGAGAGAAGACAGUGAUGGUGAAUUGCUGUCUUGGCCAGAUUGGGGCGGGGAGGUGCUCUGGAUCCUCCCAGUGAUGGAUGUUGAGAGGAAAGCGUUUGCCAAAUCAGUUGUGCACAGCCCAUCUGACCGGUUCUGCCACCUGUUCAAGUUCAUUGUCGUCCGUCUUCUUCCACCAUUAAUCAUCUGUUUUCUGCAAAGGCCGGAUAGGUGAAUUCAAUGGAGCCAUGAGUGAGCGUUCCUGUUGCUCCGCGUCCUCACCAGCAUCUGGUGUCAUCGGUGCUCUGGAUUUUGGCCAUUCCAGCAGGUGUGUCAUGGGAUCUCGUUGUUUUGUGUUUCCCUGAUGACAUACGAUGUGGAGCAUCUUUUAUAUGCUUAUUCGCCAUCUGUGUAUCUUCUUUGAUGAGGUGUCUGUUAAGGUCUCUGGCCCAUUCUUUAACUGUGUUGUUUCCUCACUGUCGAGUGUCAGGAGUUCUUGGAAUAUACUGGGUAACAUGUCUUUACCAGAUACGUCUUUUGCAAACAUUUUCUCCCAUCUGUGGCUUGUCUUCUUUUUUUUUU
Non-coding RNA from Leptonychotes weddellii (Weddell seal), 1085 nucleotides. The record is from RefSeq and is a predicted model, not a curated record. NCBI's taxonomy places the organism in Eukaryota, Metazoa, Chordata, Mammalia, Carnivora, Phocidae.